CCUACGGGAGGCUGCAGUGGGGAAUAUUGGACAAUGGGCGAAAGCCUGAUCCAGCCGUGCCGCGUAUGUGAAGAAGGCCUUCGGGUUGUAAAGCACUUUCAGUGGGGAAGAAAGCCUUGGGGCUAAUACCCUCGAGGAAGGACAUCACCCACAGAAGAAGCACCGGCUAACUCCGUGCCAGCAGCCGCGGUAAUACGGAGGGUGCGAGCGUUAAUCGGAAUUACUGGGCGUAAAGCGCUCGUAGGCGGUCUGAUAAGCCGGUUGUGAAAGCCCCGGGCUCAACCUGGGAACGGCAUCCGGAACUGUCAGGCUAGAGUGCAGGAGAGGAAGGUAGAAUUCCCGGUGUAGCGGUGAAAUGCGUAGAGAUCGGGAGGAAUACCAGUGGCGAAGGCGGCCUUCUGGACUGACACUGACGCUGAGGUGCGAAAGCGUGGGUAGCAAACAGGAUUAGAUACCCUGGUAGUC
Molecule: ribosomal RNA, 465 nt
Filed under: Vreelandella stevensii
Lineage: Bacteria; Pseudomonadati; Pseudomonadota; Gammaproteobacteria; Oceanospirillales; Halomonadaceae
Description: partial 16S ribosomal RNA
Rfam family: Bacterial small subunit ribosomal RNA
Source: RNAcentral